ACGAACGCUAGCGGCGUGCCUAACACAUGCAAGUCGAGCGAGAAAAGACUUCGGUCUAAGUAAAGCGGCGCACGGGUGAGUAACACGUGGGUAACGUACCCUCGGGUGGGGGAUAACAGACCGAAAGGUUUGCUAAUACCGCAUCAGACCACAGUCCUCGCGGGGACAGGGGUCAAAGGGGGCUGUCGCAAGGCAGCUCUCGCCUGAGGAUCGGCCCGCGGACCAUUAGCUAGUUGGUAGGGUAACGGCCUACCAAGGCUACGAUGGUUAGCUGGUCUGAGAGGACGAUCAGCCACACUGGGACUGGAACACGGCCCAGACUCCUACGGGAGGCAGCAGUGGGGAAUAUUGCGCAAUGGGCGAAAGCCUGACGCAGCAACGCCGCGUGGGUGAAGAAGGCCUUCGGGUUGUAAAGCCCUGUCAGGGGGGAAGAAUGGGACGUCGUAACCCGGCGUUCUUGACGGUACCCUCAAAGGAAGCACUGGCUAACUCCGUG
This 496-nucleotide ribosomal RNA is filed under the name uncultured bacterium. RNAcentral describes it as "bacterial SSU rRNA". It matches the Rfam family "Bacterial small subunit ribosomal RNA", at positions 29 to 507 of the family's 1533-position model. The record is from RNAcentral.